GACGAACGCUGGCGGCGUGCUUAACACAUGCCAGUCGAACGGUGAACGAGGGAGCUUGCUCCCUCCGGAUCAGUGGCGAACGGGUGAGUAACACGUGAGCAAUCUGCCCCGAACUCUGGGAUAAGCGUUGGAAACGACGUCUAAUACCGGAUACGACGCGGGAGGGCAUCCUCUCCGCGUGGAAAGAACUUCGGUUCGGGAUGAGCUCGCGGCCUAUCAGCUUGUUGGUGAAGUAACGGCUCACCAAGGCGACGACGGGUAGCCGGCCUGAGAGGGUGACCGGCCACACUGGGACUGAGACACGGCCCAGACUCCUACGGGAGGCAGCAGUGGGGAAUAUUGCACAAUGGGCGCAAGCCUGAUGCAGCAACGCCGCGUGAGGGACGACGGCCUUCGGGUUGUAAACCUCUUUUAGCAGGGAAGAAGCGAAAGUGACGGUACCUGCAGAAAAAGCACCGGCUAACUACGUG
This 470-nucleotide ribosomal RNA is filed under the name uncultured bacterium. RNAcentral describes it as "partial 16S ribosomal RNA". It matches the Rfam family "Bacterial small subunit ribosomal RNA", at positions 28 to 507 of the family's 1533-position model. The record is from RNAcentral.